AGAGUUUGAUCCUGGCUCAGGAUGAACGCUGGCGGCGUGCCUAAUACAUGCAAGUCGAGCGAACGGACGAGAAGCUUGCUUCUCUGAUGUUAGCGGCGGACGGGUGAGUAACACGUGGAUAACCUACCUAUAAGACUGGGAUAACUUCGGGAAACCGGAGCUAAUACCGGAUAAUAUUUUGAACCGCAUGGUUCAAAAGUAAAAGACGGUCUUGCUGUCACUUAUAGAUGGAUCCGCGCUGCAUUAGCUAGUUGGUAAGGUAACGGCUUACCAAGGCAACGAUGCAUAGCCGACCUGAGAGGGUGAUCGGCCACACUGGAACUGAGACACGGUCCAGACUCCUACGGGAGGCAGCAGUAGGGAAUCUUCCGCAAUGGGCGAAAGCCUGACGGAGCAACGCCGCGUGAGUGAUGAAGGUCUUCGGAUCGUAAAACUCUGUUAUUAGGGAAGAACAUAUGUGUAAGUAACUGUGCACAUCUUGACGGUACCUAAUCAGAAAGCCACGGCUAACUACGUGCCAGCAGCCGCGGUAAUACGUAGGUGGCAAGCGUUAUCCGGAAUUAUUGGGCGUAAAGCGCGCGUAGGCGGUUUUUUAAGUCUGAUGUGAAAGCCCACGGCUCAACCGUGGAGGGUCAUUGGAAACUGGAAAACUUGAGUGCAGAAGAGGAAAGUGGAAUUCAAUGUGUAGCGGUGAAAUGCGCAGAGAUAUGGAGGAACACCAGUGGCGAAGGCGACUUUCUGGUCUGUAACUGACGCUGAUGUGCGAAAGCGUGGGGAUCAAACAGGAUUAGAUACCCUGGUAGUCCACGCCGUAAACGAUGAGUGCUAAGUGUUAGGGGGUUUCCGCCCCUUAGUGCUGCAGCUAACGCAUUAAGCACUCCGCCUGGGGAGUACGACCGCAAGGUUGAAACUCAAAGGAAUUGACGGGGACCCGCACAAGCGGUGGAGCAUGUGGUUUAAUUCGAAGCAACGCGAAGAACCUUACCAAAUCUUGACAUCCUUUGACAACUCUAGAGAUAGAGCCUUCCCCUUCGGGGGACAAAGUGACAGGUGGUGCAUGGUUGUCGUCAGCUCGUGUCGUGAGAUGUUGGGUUAAGUCCCGCAACGAGCGCAACCCUUAAGCUUAGUUGCCAUCAUUAAGUUGGGCACUCUAAGUUGACUGCCGGUGACAAACCGGAGGAAGGUGGGGAUGACGUCAAAUCAUCAUGCCCCUUAUGAUUUGGGCUACACACGUGCUACAAUGGACAAUACAAAGGGCAGCGAAACCGCGAGGUCAAGCAAAUCCCAUAAAGUUGUUCUCAGUUCGGAUUGUAGUCUGCAACUCGACUACAUGAAGCUGGAAUCGCUAGUAAUCGUAGAUCAGCAUGCUACGGUGAAUACGUUCCCGGGUCUUGUACACACCGCCCGUCACACCACGAGAGUUUGUAACACCCGAAGCCGGUGGAGUAACCUUUUAGGAGCUAGCCGUCGAAGGUGGGACAAAUGAUUGGGGUGAAGUCGUAACAAGGUAGCCGUAUCGGAAGGUGCGGCUGGAUCACCU
Molecule: ribosomal RNA, 1540 nt
Filed under: Staphylococcus aureus M0657
Lineage: Bacteria; Bacillati; Bacillota; Bacilli; Caryophanales; Staphylococcaceae
Description: 16S ribosomal RNA
Rfam family: Bacterial small subunit ribosomal RNA
Source: RNAcentral